GGAAGAACUGGAAGUAGGAGACAAUCAAAUGAAUGCAGUUGCAAAUAAAAUAAUGGAAGGUGUAUCUAUCUCAGACACUAUACCUUAUGGCAAUCGAACAUAUAGUGAUUGCUUUGUGGAGGCCUUGAUAUCAGAGGCAGAGAGACACAAAGAUAUUGUAGCUGUUCAUGCAGGCAUGGGAAUGGAGCCUUCACUUCACCUUCUGAAGGAUGUCUUUGCAGAGAAGUUUUUUGAUGUUGGGAUGGCCGAACAACAUGCGGUAACAUUUGCAGCUGGGUUGGCAUGUGGAGGGCUGAAGCCAUUCUGCAUAAUUCCUUCAGCUUUCCUCCAAAGAGCCUAUGAUCAGGUCGUCCAUGAUGUAGAUCGUCAGAAGGUUCCCGUGCGUUUCAUCAUUACAAGUGCUGGAUUAGUAGGAUCUGAUGGUCCUAUACAUUGUGGGACAUUUGAUAUAGCAUUUAUGUCCUGUUUGCCAAACAUGAUCGUAAUGGCUCCUUCUGAUGAAGUUGAGCUUUCUCAUAUGGUUGCAACUGCUGCCCUUAUUGAUGACAGGCCAGUUUGC
This 559-nucleotide unclassified non-coding RNA is filed under the name Hevea brasiliensis (rubber tree). The record is from RNAcentral. Lineage: Eukaryota; Viridiplantae; Streptophyta; Magnoliopsida; Malpighiales; Euphorbiaceae.